Long non-coding RNA from Dama dama (fallow deer), 822 nucleotides. RefSeq lists it as uncharacterized. The record is from RefSeq and is a predicted model, not a curated record. The transcript has 4 exons. NCBI's taxonomy places the organism in Eukaryota, Metazoa, Chordata, Mammalia, Artiodactyla, Cervidae.
UGACAUGGUGAGCCACGCGAGCCUGGGUGGAGGCCCUCAGGGUGCCCCCAGCGCACACUCUGUGGGAGACGCCUGGCGCUGCUCCUUCAGGUCCAGGGACGCACACUUGGAACUGAGGAGCCGGGACCACUGAUGCGGCCCGAGGUGUCCUGCGAGUCCGGAGCCUGUUUCUGACCCAGAGGAGGGGGAAACGCUACAUCCAGGAGCAUCGGGGACACCCUGUGAAGGCUCAGAGGGACGUGUCCGAGGAAGGGGUCUGCACCCAGGACCACGGCCUGUGAGGAGGGAGCGUUCCGGCUCCAGUCCUGGGGCCCCACCCGGCCGCGGGGCCCGGACACCUCUGCUGUGGGUGCUGGAAACGUGAGCACAGCUCUGCACGGUUGACUGAAUCAAUUACGCCUUUGGAAUCUGACUUCACACACACACACACACACACACAGAUUUUUGAUAAUAGCUUAUCUGAGCACAAACACGGCUGGGGCCUGGGUCCCCAGCUGCCCUCCUGGGAGCCCUGAUGCCACACGUCUGGACACGACGCACACUCCCUCCGCUUUUGGGGAGGAGACCCCUCUGAAGACGCUCCUAGGCCUGGGAAGAGACUCUGAACCCACCGGGCUGGGUGACCCCCACCUGCAGUGCCUGCCCUGCUGAGGGCAGCUCCUGAAGGCAGGGUCCACACUGGACUGCGUGGCUGGAUCAAGGCUGGAUAUGCUUGCUGAGCAGAGAGUAGGACCAGACCUUAAGACCCUAAAGACAAACCAAAGAGGAAACACACUGCCACAGCCCGCCUGCCCAAGGUGAAGCGUUAAACCGCAUGAGAGG